AACGUACCACGGAGCGUAUUCCAAUAUA
RNAcentral lists this small RNA (28 nucleotides) under Bombyx mori (domestic silkworm). RNAcentral describes it as "ovarian small RNA-10409". The record is from RNAcentral. Lineage: Eukaryota; Metazoa; Arthropoda; Insecta; Lepidoptera; Bombycidae.